ACGGCGUACCUUUUGUAUAAUGGGUCAGCGAGUUAUUGUCUGUAGCAAGGUUAACCGUUUAGGGGAGCCGUAGGGAAACCGAGUCUUAAUAGGGCGUCAUAGUUGCAGGCAAUAGACCCGAAACCGGACGAUCUAGCCAUGGCCAGGUUGAAGGUGCCGUAACAGGCACUGGAGGACCGAACCCACUUAUGUUGAAAAAUGAGGGGAUGACUUGUGGCUAGGGGUGAAAGGCCAAUCAAACUCGGAGAUAGCUGGUUCUCCGCGAAAUCUAUUUAGGUAGAGCGUCGGAUGAACACUCCAGGGGGUAGAGCACUGAAUGGGCUAGGGGGUCUCACCGACUUACCAAACCUAAUCAAACUCCGAAUACCUGGAAGUGCUAUCCGGCAGACACACGGCGGGUGCUAACGUCCGUCGUGGAGAGGGAAACAACCCUGACCACCAUCUAAGGUCCCCAAGUUAUGGCUAAGUGGGAAAGGAUGUGAGACUCCCAAAACAACCAGGAUGUUGGCUUAGAAGCAGCCAUCCUUUAAAGAAAGCGUAACAGCUCACUGGUCUAAAUAAGGGGUUUUGCGCCGAAAAUGUACCGGGGCUAAAGCCAUGCACCGAAGCUGAGGAUGUGCAGUUUACUGCACGUGGUAGCGGAGCGUUCUGUAAGUCUGUGAAGGGAGACCCGUGAGGGCUCCUGGAGAUAUCAGAAGUGCGAAUGUUGACAUGAGUAACGAUAAAGGGAGUGAGAGACUCCCUCGCCGAAAGACCAAGGGUUCCUGCUUAAAGUUAAUCUGAGCAGGGUGAGCCGGCCCCUAAGGCGAGGCCGAAAGGCGUAGUCGAUGGGAACCACGUUAAUAUUCGUGGGCCUGGUGGUAGUGACGGAUCUCGUGUGUUGUAUCUCCUUACUGGAUUGGAGAUGCAGCGAAGAGGUUCCAGGAAAUAGCUCCACCGUAUAGACCGUACCCGAAACCGACACAGGUGGACUGGUAGAGUAUACCAAGGCGCUUGAGAGAACGACGUUGAAGGAACUCGGCAAAUUGCACGCGUAACUUCGGAAGAAGCGUGACCCUCACUCACGCAAGUGGAUGAGGGUGGCACAGACCAGGGGGUAGCGACUGUUUAUCAAAAACACAGGGCUCUGCGAAGUCGCAAGACGACGUAUAGGGUCUGACGCCUGCCCGGUGCCGGAAGGUUAAGAGGAGAGGUGAGAGCUUUGAAUCGAAGCCCCGGUAAACGGCGGCCGUAACAAUAACGGUCCUAAGGUAGCGAAAUUCCUUG
RNAcentral lists this ribosomal RNA (1266 nucleotides) under Lotharella globosa. RNAcentral describes it as "partial Bacterial large subunit ribosomal RNA". It matches the Rfam family "Bacterial large subunit ribosomal RNA", at positions 596 to 1971 of the family's 2925-position model. The record is from RNAcentral. Lineage: Eukaryota; Cercozoa; Chlorarachniophyceae.